AGGGUUCGAUUCUGGCUCAGGACGAACGCUGGCGGCGCGCCUAACACAUGCAAGUCGAACGGAGCUGAGAGGAGCUUGCUUUUCUUAGCUUAGUGGCGAACGGGUGAGUAACGCGUGAGUAACCUGCCCUGGAGUGGGGGACAACAGUUGGAAACGACUGCUAAUACCGCAUAAGCCCACGGCCCGGCAUCGGGCUGAGGGAAAAGGAUUUAUUCGCUUCAGGAUGGACUCGCGUCCAAUUAGCUAGUUGGUGAGGUAACGGCCCACCAAGGCGACGAUUGGUAGCCGGACUGAGAGGUUGAACGGCCACAUUGGGACUGAGACACGGCCCAG
This 333-nucleotide ribosomal RNA is filed under the name uncultured bacterium. RNAcentral describes it as "bacterial SSU rRNA". It matches the Rfam family "Bacterial small subunit ribosomal RNA", at positions 8 to 334 of the family's 1533-position model. The record is from RNAcentral.